GAAAGGUAAGUUUCCACGAAACACCCUUUUUAUCUUCUACUAAAACAAGAAAAUUAAAAAAAAGGUCGCUAAGUAUUCUCGAACUUUGUCCCCAGCCGGCCAGCAUUAGGGUUUUAAACCCUAAACUAAGUUUUUCCAUGCAGUCAGCAUUAGGGUUUUAAACCCUAAACUGACCUUUUUUCCUUUAAUCAGCAUUAGGGUUUUAACCCUAACUGAACUUUUUCCAUUCAGCCAGCAUUAGGGUUUUAAGCCCUAAACUGAGCUUUUCCAUGCAAUCAGCAUUAGGGUUUUAAACCCUAAACUGAAUUUUUCCUUUAGUCAGUAUUAGGGUUUUAAACCCUAAACUGAACUUUUUUCCAUUCAGCCAGCAAUAGGGUUUUAAACCCUAAACUGAGCUUUUCCAUGCAAUCAGCAUUAGGGUUUUAAACCCUAAACUGAAUUUUUCCAUGCAAUCAGCAUUAGGGUUUUAAACCCUAAACUGAGCUUUUCCAUUCAGCCAGCAUUAGGGUUUUAAACCCUAAACUGACCUUUUCCAUUCAGUCAGCAUUAGGGUUUUAAACCCUAAACUGAACUUUUUCCUUCAGCCAGCAUUAGGGUUUUAAACCCUAAACUGAGCUUUUCCAUGCAAUCAUCAUUAGGGUUUUAAACCCUAAACUGAAUUUUUCCUUUAGUCAACAUUAGGGUUUUAAACCCUAAACUGAACUUUUUUCCAUUCAGCCAGCAUUAGGGUUUUAAACCCUAAACUGAGCUUUUCCAUGCAAUCAACAUUAGGGUUUUAAACCCUAAACUGAAUUUUUCCACGUAAUCAGCAUUAGGAUUUUAAACCCUAAACUGAGAUUUUACAUUCAGUCAGCAUUAGGGUUUUAAACCCUAAACUAAGCUU
Molecule: long non-coding RNA, 883 nt
Filed under: Nicotiana tabacum (common tobacco)
Lineage: Eukaryota; Viridiplantae; Streptophyta; Magnoliopsida; Solanales; Solanaceae
Description: long non-coding RNA (NTAB_LNC006521)
Source: RNAcentral